AUAGUGUUUGGCUUCUCUUGGCCACUGGAUGAUAUGUCAGAAAGAGGAUCAUCUCCUUCUGCACCAUGGUUGACACAGAUAACUGAAACUGUGGAAAGAAAACCUGCAGGGAAGACUAUUAUAUCACCAAUAACUUGCUGGGAAAUACAGCCCAAAGUCAAGGUGGAGGAGGUGAAGACAAAUGUUGGAAAUGAACAACCAGUAGUUUUCAUGUCCUGCAGAGAAGGUGGGCCCCAGAGCACAUAUCAUGUGGUGAGAUGGAAAGCUCAGAAAAUGGUCCACAACCAUCCUGUCCAGUAGUGCAGAAACCUGAGAAUCAUCCUCACUGACCAGGCCUCUCUCAUCUGGCCUUCCAGCCAGAAAUCUGUUCAACAUUGAAUGAAUGAGAAGAACCACUAGAUAGAAUAAGUAAUACCCAUGACAAAAUCAUUCUGUCUUUACGUAGUACUCGGCAGGGC
RNAcentral lists this long non-coding RNA (458 nucleotides) under Vulpes vulpes (red fox). Its description in RNAcentral is "lncRNA (ENSVVUG00000018028.1)". Lineage: Eukaryota; Metazoa; Chordata; Mammalia; Carnivora; Canidae. The record is from RNAcentral.